GCACUGCACUCGCUUUUCUCGGGCAGAGUUUCGUUUACUUCGCUAUUUUAAAACUUCGGUGCUCUGCUUAGCCGGAGAGAAAACUCGAUUAACUCGUGGGGAGGGGAGAAGUGGAAAUGAAUAUGGGCCGUUAACUGAUUUACCAGAUUGGUCUUAUGUUGAUGGUAGAGAAGAGCCUUCACUUUUAAAAAGUCAGAAACGUAGAUUACGGGAUCAAGCAAGAUAUCAAAACCGGAUUGAUGAACUUUUACAAAGCACAACUGAACCAUUUAUCAAAUAACCUAUAUCUUGAGGGCUACCAAAUAUUUUACUCG
Zophobas morio is the source of this 314-nucleotide long non-coding RNA. RefSeq lists it as uncharacterized. The transcript has 3 exons. The record is from RefSeq and is a predicted model, not a curated record. Lineage: Eukaryota; Metazoa; Arthropoda; Insecta; Coleoptera; Tenebrionidae.